CUGCCCUCAAGCCCGGCUUGUGUGUUGGGGCACUGCGGUUCGCCGCAGGCUCUGAAAUUCAGUGGCGGGCUCGCUAUAACUCCGAGCGUAGUAAUUCACCUCGUUCUGGAAGAGUGGCGGGCACUGGCCGUAAAACCCCCAUAUUUUACAA
This 151-nucleotide unclassified non-coding RNA is filed under the name uncultured Sordariomycetes. RNAcentral describes it as "sequence contains ITS2". Lineage: Eukaryota; Fungi; Ascomycota; Sordariomycetes. The record is from RNAcentral.